Molecule: non-coding RNA, 97 nt
Organism: Rhodocollybia butyracea
Lineage: Eukaryota; Fungi; Basidiomycota; Agaricomycetes; Agaricales; Omphalotaceae
Source: the annotation of a GenBank genome assembly
GUCUCCUUAGCUCAGUGGUAGAUCAGUGCACUUGUAUGACCCAUUGAAUGUAGUUUAUACAAUGCAAAGGCCAGCUGUUCAAUCCGGCUAGGAGGCA